Oncorhynchus keta (chum salmon) is the source of this 454-nucleotide long non-coding RNA. RefSeq lists it as uncharacterized. The transcript is spliced from 4 exons. The record is from RefSeq and is a predicted model, not a curated record. Lineage: Eukaryota; Metazoa; Chordata; Actinopteri; Salmoniformes; Salmonidae.
CACCUACUGACCACACUACUAGGAGAGAGGUACACCCACUGACCACACUACUAGGAGAGAGGUACACCCACUGACCACACUACUAGGAGAGAGGUACACCCACUGACCACACUACUAGGAGAGAGGUACACCCACUGACCACACUACUAGGAGAGAGGUACACCCACUGACCACACUACUAGGAGAGAGGUACACCCACUGACCACACUACUAGGAGAGAGGUACACCCACUGACCACACUACUAGGAGAGAGGUACACCCACUGACCACACUACUAGGAGAGAGGUACACCCACUGACCACACUACUAGGAGAGAGGUACACCCACUGACCACACUACUAGGAGAGAGGUACACCCACUGACCACACUACUAGGAGAGAGGUACACCCACUGACCACACUACUAGGAGAGAGGUACACCCACUGACCACACUACUAGGAGAGAGGUACACCCA